CGCACCCCAUCUUUUCCGCUCCCAGUUUCUACAACCCACCAUAUCCAAUCUGCGGCGGCUCCAAGCCUCGCCCCGAGCGGUGCCCUCUGCCGGCUACGUCUGGUCUCCUCGGUCGACGACCUCACCAGUCAGGGCCGGUCGGCUUCCCUUGUCCUCCCCGUCCCCUGGCCGCACCUCUCCUGGCGUCGUCCUCAACGUCCGCAAGCCAGGUCCAUGCCGGCGUCAUCCUCCUGCAAAAUUCUGCCACAUCAAGCCAGCGCACCCUCAAAUCCCAUCUGCUCUAUCAAGCAGGUCAAAAAGACAAAGCUGACCACUCCAACACAACCUAAGACAUUUGUGCUCCAAGAAAACAUCAAGACAUUUGUAGAAUUGGAAUGCAUUGCAGGAGCAAGGAGCAACCACACAAGAAUUAGUCUUUAAAUGAACACAUAUUAUGUAUAAUGUAUGGAAAGCUUAGUUCUAGUUUGUAGUAUCUUAUUAAUUAUUUACAUAUUUCAUAUGAAUGUUGGAUCUGAUGCAGCUGUGAACUCCAUGUCUCCAUACACUUUUAGUGUAUGUAUUUGUUCAUAUACUUGUUACAAAGGAUGCUAAUUCUGAGAAUGGAUUGCUUGCAAAUGCAAUUGCUGA
Long non-coding RNA from Triticum dicoccoides, 627 nucleotides. RefSeq lists it as uncharacterized. Lineage: Eukaryota; Viridiplantae; Streptophyta; Magnoliopsida; Poales; Poaceae. The transcript is spliced from 3 exons. The record is from RefSeq and is a predicted model, not a curated record.